Molecule: ribosomal RNA, 480 nt
Filed under: uncultured bacterium
Lineage: Bacteria
Description: partial 16S ribosomal RNA
Rfam family: Bacterial small subunit ribosomal RNA
Source: RNAcentral
GACGAACGCUGGCGGCGUGCUUAACACAUGCAAGUCGAGCGGAAAGGCCACUUCGGUGGUACUCGAGCGGCGAACGGGUGAGUAACACGUGAGUAAUCUGCCCUUGGCUUUGGGAUAGCCACCGGAAACGGUGAUUAAUACCGGAUACGACCACUUCUCGCAUGGGAUGGUGGUGGAAAGUUUUUCGGCCAGGGAUGUGCUCGCGGCCUAUCAGCUUGAUGGUGAGGUAAUGGCUCACCAUGGCUUCGACGGGUAGCCGGCCUGAGAGGGUGAGCGGUCACAGUGGGACUGAGACACGGCCCAGACUCCUACGGGAGGCAGCAGUGGGGAAUAUUGGACAAUGGGCGGAAGCCUGAUCCAGCAACGCCGCGUGAGGGAUGACGGCCUUCGGGUUGUAAACCUCUUUCGGUGGGGACGAAGCGCAAGUGACGGUACCCACUAAAGAAGCACCGGCCAACUACGUGCCAGCCGCCGCUGUAA